CAGUAGCCACGGUAAUACAGAGGAUGCAAGCGUUAUCCGGAAUGAUUGGGCGUAAAGCGUCUGUAGGUGGCUUUUCAAGUCCGCCAUCAAAUCCCAAGGCUCAACCCUGGACAGGCGGAGGAGAAUACCAAGCUGGAGUACGGUAGGGGCAGAGGGAACUUCCGGUGGAGCGGUGAAAUGCGUUGAGAUCGGAAAGAACACCAACGGCGAAAGCACUCUGCUGGGCCGACACUGACACUGAGAGACGAAAGCUAGGGGAGCAAAUGGGAUUAGAUACCCCAGUAGUCCCUGUCUCUUAUAC
RNAcentral lists this ribosomal RNA (301 nucleotides) under uncultured bacterium. RNAcentral's name for it is "partial 16S ribosomal RNA". It matches the Rfam family "Bacterial small subunit ribosomal RNA", at positions 509 to 807 of the family's 1533-position model. The record is from RNAcentral.